CAUUGAAAGACCCGUUCCCUUGCGAUCAUGGAAGUUAAGCAACGUCGAGCUUGUAAGUACCAAGAUGAGUGACCUCUUGGGAAUACCAGGUGCU
Molecule: non-coding RNA, 94 nt
Organism: Acanthosepion pharaonis
Lineage: Eukaryota; Metazoa; Mollusca; Cephalopoda; Sepiida; Sepiidae
Source: the annotation of a GenBank genome assembly